CUGGCUCAGAUUGAACGCUGGCGGCAUGCCUUACACAUGCAAGUCGAACGGCAGCACGGGUGCUUGCACCUGGUGGCGAGUGGCGAACGGGUGAGUAAUACAUCGGAACAUGUCCUGUAGUGGGGGAUAGCCCGGCGAAAGCCGGAUUAAUACCGCAUACGAUCUACGGAUGAAAGCGGGGGACCUUCGGGCCUCGCGCUAUAGGGUUGGCCGAUGGCUGAUUAGCUAGUUGGUGGGGUAAAGGCCUACCAAGGCGACGAUCAGUAGCUGGUCUGAGAGGACGACCAGCCACACUGGGACUGAGACACGGCCCAGACUCCUACGGGAGGCAGCAGUGGGGAAUUUUGGACAAUGGGCGAAAGCCUGAUCCAGCAAUGCCGCGUGUGUGAAGAAGGCCUUCGGGUUGUAAAGCACUUUUGUCCGGAAAGAAAUCCUUGGCUCUAAUACAGUCGGGGGAUGACGGUACCGGAAGAAUAAGCACCGGCUAACUACGUGCCAGCAGCCGCGGUAAUACGUAGGGUGCGAGCGUUAAUCGGAAUUACUGGGCGUAAAGCGUGCGCAGGCGGUUUGCUAAGACCGAUGUGAAAUCCCCGGGCUCAACCUGGGAACUGCAUUGGUGACUGGCAGGCUAGAGUAUGGCAGAGGGGGGUAGAAUUCCACGUGUAGCAGUGAAAUGCGUAGAGAUGUGGAGGAAUACCGAUGGCGAAGGCAGCCCCCUGGGCCAAUACUGACGCUCAUGCACGAAAGCGUGGGGAGCAAACAGGAUUAGAUACCCUGGUAGUCCACGCCCUAAACGAUGUCAACUAGUUGUUGGGGAUUCAUUUCCUUAGUAACGUAGCUAACGCGUGAAGUUGACCGCCUGGGGAGUACGGUCGCAAGAUUAAAACUCAAAGGAAUUGACGGGGACCCGCACAAGCGGUGGAUGAUGUGGAUUAAUUCGAUGCAACGCGAAAAACCUUACCUACCCUUGACAUGGUCGGAAUCCCGCUGAGAGGUGGGAGUGCUCGAAAGAGAACCGAUACACAGGUGCUGCAUGGC
This 1038-nucleotide ribosomal RNA is filed under the name Burkholderia sp. NF2_RA022. RNAcentral's name for it is "bacterial SSU rRNA". It matches the Rfam family "Bacterial small subunit ribosomal RNA", at positions 19 to 1049 of the family's 1533-position model. The record is from RNAcentral. Lineage: Bacteria; Pseudomonadati; Pseudomonadota; Betaproteobacteria; Burkholderiales; Burkholderiaceae.